This 253-nucleotide ribosomal RNA is filed under the name uncultured bacterium. RNAcentral's name for it is "partial 16S ribosomal RNA". It matches the Rfam family "Bacterial small subunit ribosomal RNA", at positions 524 to 776 of the family's 1533-position model. The record is from RNAcentral.
UACGUAGGGGGCGAGCGUUGUCCGGAGUUACUGGGCGUAAAGCGUACGCAGGCGGUCUGCUAAGUUUGGUGUGACAGUUGGUGGCUUAACUGCCAAAGUGCUUCGAAAACUGACAGACUUGAGGGCUUCAGAGGGACACGGAAUUCCGGGUGGAGUGGUGAAAUGCGUAGAGAUCCGGAGGAACACCAAAGGCGAAGGCAGUGUCCUGGGGAGUACCUGACGCUCAGGUGCGAAAGCCAGGGGAGCGAACGGG